UGCGAGUUGCUUAGCAAGUUGUCCAACUUGAGUCUCGAGAUUUUUUAUAGCCGCGUCGUUGCUCUUUUGAUUUGCCAUUGACAUUUGCAUGAAUUGUGUCAAUGUCUCUUCCAACUUAGAAGUUACGAUCGGCGGUUGUUGAGGUUGAUAAGGAUUUUGGGGAGGAUUUUGACGGCUAGAAGGACCACCUCCAUAACCUUGGUUAUGGUAAUAGUUACUCCUAGGUUGGAACCCUUGGUUCCCUUGGAAAUGUUGUUGUUGAUUUUGAGGGUGUGG
RNAcentral lists this long non-coding RNA (276 nucleotides) under Lathyrus oleraceus (garden pea). RNAcentral describes it as "Pisum sativum (pea) long non-coding RNA (PSAT_LNC039292)". The record is from RNAcentral. Lineage: Eukaryota; Viridiplantae; Streptophyta; Magnoliopsida; Fabales; Fabaceae.